CUACGGGGUGCAGCAGUGGGGAAUAUUGGACAAUGGGCGCAAGCCUGACCCAGCAACGCCGCGUGAGGGAAGAAUGUCUUCGGAUUGUAAACCUCUGUCCUUGGGGACGAAAAAAAUGACGGUACCCAAGGAGGAAGCUCCGGCUAACUACGUGCCAGCAGCCGCGGUAAUACGUAGGGAGCAAGCGUUGUCCGGAAUUAUUGGGCGUAAAGGGUGCGUAGGCGGCGCUGUAAGUCAGAUGUGAAAUCCCCGGGCUUAACUCGGGAGUUGCAUUUGAAACUACAGUGCUUGAGUAAAGAAGGGGUAAGUGGAAUUCCUAGUGUAGCGGUGGAAUGCGUAGAUAUUAGGAGGAACACCAGUGGCGAAGGCGACUUACUGGUCUUUUACUGACGCUGAGGCACGAAAGCGUGGGGAGCAAACAGGAUUAGAUACCCCGGUAGUC
This 442-nucleotide ribosomal RNA is filed under the name uncultured bacterium. RNAcentral's name for it is "partial 16S ribosomal RNA". It matches the Rfam family "Bacterial small subunit ribosomal RNA", at positions 339 to 795 of the family's 1533-position model. The record is from RNAcentral.